AUUUAGCUAACGAGUCCCAAAUAGGACGAAACGCGCGUCCUGGAU
RNAcentral lists this non-coding RNA (45 nucleotides) under Schistosoma mansoni. The record is from RNAcentral. Lineage: Eukaryota; Metazoa; Platyhelminthes; Trematoda; Strigeidida; Schistosomatidae.